AUGGAAUUCUUGGAGCGAGAUCCUGCAUUGCCACCACAAAUUUGGCAAUACCCACAAAAUCAAAGAGAUAGCGUGCGGAGAUCAGAUUUGUUGCUAGGUCCUAUGCAACCAAAACUGAAGGAGUAUAAAGCUUCUGGUAAAAAGGGCCAUCAGCGUUGCUUUCAAUAUAAGUGGUUUGAAAAAUUCCCAUCAUGGCUAGAGUACUCAGAGGAUAGUUAUCGUGCAUAUUGUUUAUUUUGCUUUGUUUAUAGCAGAAAUUUCUCAUCAAAAGGAGACUCUGAUGUAUUCACAGUGCAUGGUUUUGAUAACUGGAAGAAGGUAAAUGUUUUGGUUUGCUGCAGUUGGUCAAAAAAAAAAUUGUCUUUGGCCCCCCCAAAGGUUUUUGUCAAGCUCCGCCACUGCUAG
This 405-nucleotide ribosomal RNA is filed under the name Triticum aestivum (bread wheat). RNAcentral's name for it is "partial small subunit ribosomal RNA". The record is from RNAcentral. Lineage: Eukaryota; Viridiplantae; Streptophyta; Magnoliopsida; Poales; Poaceae.